CUUGGUCAUUUAGAGGAAGUAAAAGUCGUAACAAGGUUUCCGUAGGUGAACCUGCGGAAGGAUCAUUACUGAACGAAAUGGGUGGCAAGGCUGUCGCUGGCUCGAAUGAGCAUGUGCACGUCUUUUGCUGCUUGCUUCAUUCUCUUCUCCACCUGUGCACUCUUUGUAGACACUCGGGAUGUGAGAGAGGUUAGCAUUGAUUGUUGACCUCUGUCUGGGUGUUUAUGUAUUUUUUGACAUACACGUUUGAAUGUCUAUAGAAUGAAAAUGUAGGCUUUUGUCAGCCUUUAAAUGAUAAAAUACAACUUUCAACAACGGAUCUCUUGGCUCUCGCAUCGAUGAAGAACGCAGCGAAAUGCGAUAAGUAAUGUGAAUUGCAGAAUUCAGUGAAUCAUCGAAUCUUUGAACGCAUCUUGCGCUCCUUGGUAUUCCGAGGAGCAUGCCUGUUUGAGUGUCAUUAAAUAUCUCAAAAAGCUUGUGCUUUUUUGGCACAGGAGUUUUGGACAUUGGGAGUUGCCGGCUGCUGGAUAACAGUGGUGGGCUCUUCUGAAAAGCAUUAGUUGAGGAGCUUUGCACUCUAUUGGUGUGAUAGACUAUCUAUGCCAGGAGACGCUUCAUGAUCCUCUGCCAUCUAACCGUCUUUAUAAGACAAUAUGAUAAACUUGACCUCAAAUCAGGUAGGACUACCCGCUGAACUUAAGCAUAUCAAUAAGCGGAGGAA
Molecule: ribosomal RNA, 721 nt
Filed under: Amanita sp. 2 RB-2011
Lineage: Eukaryota; Fungi; Basidiomycota; Agaricomycetes; Agaricales; Amanitaceae
Description: eukaryotic LSU rRNA
Rfam family: 5.8S ribosomal RNA (bases 304-457)
Source: RNAcentral